GUUUGCAUGGUGUAGUCGUUAUCACGUUUGCUUUACACGCAAAUGGUCCCCAGUUUGAGCCUGGGUGGAAACA
This is a non-coding RNA of Nerophis lumbriciformis (worm pipefish), 73 nucleotides long. Lineage: Eukaryota; Metazoa; Chordata; Actinopteri; Syngnathiformes; Syngnathidae. The record is from the annotation of a RefSeq genome assembly.